RNAcentral lists this ribosomal RNA (454 nucleotides) under uncultured bacterium. Its description in RNAcentral is "bacterial SSU rRNA". It matches the Rfam family "Bacterial small subunit ribosomal RNA", at positions 340 to 786 of the family's 1533-position model. The record is from RNAcentral.
UACGGGAGGCAGCAGUGGGGAAUAUUGCACAAUGGGCGCAAGCCUGAUGCAGCCAUGCCGCGUGUAUGAAAAAGGCCUUCGGGUUGUAAAGUACUUUCAGUCGUGAGGAAGGUGUUAAGGUUAAUAACCUUAGCAAUUGACGUUAGCGACAGAAGAAGCACCGGCUAACUCCGUGCCAGCAGCCGCGGUAAUACGGAGGGUGCGAGCGUUAAUCGGAAUUACUGGGCGUAAAGGGCACGCAGGCGGUUAAUUAAGUUGGAUGUGAAAUCCCCGGGCUUAACCUGGGAAUGGCAUUCAAGACUGGUUAGCUAGAGUCUUGUAGAGGGGGUAGAAUUCCAUGUGUAGCGGUGAAAUGCGUAGAGAUGUGGAGGAAUACCGGUGGCGAAGGCGGCCCCUGGACAAAGACUGACGCUCAUGUGCGAAAAGCGUGGGGAGCAAACAGGGAUUAGAUACC